Molecule: non-coding RNA, 21 nt
Filed under: Caenorhabditis elegans
Lineage: Eukaryota; Metazoa; Nematoda; Chromadorea; Rhabditida; Rhabditidae
Source: RNAcentral
UUAUAGUACUCUUAAUGUAGU